Mycena latifolia is the source of this 93-nucleotide non-coding RNA. NCBI's taxonomy places the organism in Eukaryota, Fungi, Basidiomycota, Agaricomycetes, Agaricales, Mycenaceae. The record is from the annotation of a GenBank genome assembly.
GCCUCCGUGGAUCAGCGGUAAAUCACCCUGGCAUUAUGAACAGAGCGCUAUACAGUUUGCGGGGAGACGUGGGUUCGAGUCCCGCCGGAGGCA